Neodiprion fabricii is the source of this 698-nucleotide long non-coding RNA. RefSeq lists it as uncharacterized. The transcript has 4 exons. The record is from RefSeq and is a predicted model, not a curated record. Lineage: Eukaryota; Metazoa; Arthropoda; Insecta; Hymenoptera; Diprionidae.
CCGUGUUUCUUGACAUACACCGACGACCUGGAGAAGCGCUCCCUCGUACAUACGAACGUACCUGUAUUACGGCUGCAUUCUCUGGUUCCCGCCCAACUCAACCCCACCCUUUUCCAUCCUACAUAGGAUACAGUACAAGUACAGCAUGUGUGUAACCUGCAUCCUUCGCCAUCCUUGACCACGUCUUUUUCCGUCCUACCGCAUUCCUAUUCAACCAUCGUGCCGCGGAGGAAGAAGAAGACGAAGAAGGUGAAGAGGAAGAAAAGUCGUAAAGGUGGCGGUGGUGGAUCAGCGUCCACUGCACACACACCAUACACAGAAACACGGAAGCGACGUGAAACCACGCAGAUCUCAAGGUUGAUAAUGGUUGCAAACUGCUACAAAUAAUCUGCAUAUGCAUACCAUGAGAUUCACGUAUUUUCUCCAGCGAAAGUAAUUUGGCAUAGUCUUGGGCCGCGGACGGUAUAAUCAUUUAUAAACUGACGGCCACAAAACGAGGGCGUCAAAAAAGGUAAAAUCAAUUUAUGCCAACGCUAUAUCAGAGCAAUUCUUCUUACGCAAAAACGGAAAAUUUCUUCGUAGUUUCGUCGUAUCUCCUCAGCUGUUGGUCCUACGAUCUUCAAAAGGCUUUGGUUAAUUCCUUGGGGGCCCGAUAGUCUGGUUUUAAUCGAUUUAAAGGAUUAUUUCCAUUGAAUUUG